Molecule: ribosomal RNA, 254 nt
Filed under: uncultured bacterium
Lineage: Bacteria
Description: partial 16S ribosomal RNA
Rfam family: Bacterial small subunit ribosomal RNA
Source: RNAcentral
CACGUAGGCACCAAGCGUUGUCCGGAUUUAUUGGGCGUAAAGAGCUCGUAGGCGGUUCAGUAAGUCAGGUGUGAAAUCUUUGGGCUUAACCCAAAGCGUGCACUUGAUACUGCUGUGACUUGAGUUCGGUAGGGGAGUGGGGAAUUCCUAGUGUAGCGGUGAAAUGCGCAGAUAUUAGGAGGAACACCGGUGGCGAAGGCGCCACUCUGGGCCGAAACUGACGCUGAGGAGCGAAAGCGUGGGGAGCAAACAGG